This 492-nucleotide ribosomal RNA is filed under the name uncultured bacterium. RNAcentral describes it as "partial 16S ribosomal RNA". It matches the Rfam family "Bacterial small subunit ribosomal RNA", at positions 29 to 507 of the family's 1533-position model. The record is from RNAcentral.
AGUGAACGCUGGCGGUAGGCCUAACACAUGCAAGUCGAACGGCAGCACAGUAAGAGCUUGCUCUUACGGGUGGCGAGUGGCGGACGGGGGAGGAAUACAUCGGAAUCUACUUUUUCGUGGGGGGUAACGGAGGGAAACUUACGCUAAAACCGCAUACGAACUACGGGGGAAAGCAGGGGAGCUUCGGACCUUGCGCGAUUGAAUGAGCCGAUGUCGGAUUAGCUAGUUGGCGGGGUAAAGGCCCACCAAGGCGACGAUCCGUAGCUGGUCUGAGAGGAUGAUCAGCCACACUGGAACUGAGACACGGUCCAGACUCCUACGGGAGGCAGCAGUGGGGAAUAUUGGACAAUGGGCGCAAGCCUGAUCCAGCCAUACCGCGUGGGUGAAGAAGGCCUUCGGGUUGUAAAGCCCUUUUGUUGGGAAAGAAAAGCAGCAGGUUAAUACCCCGCUGUUCUGACGGUACCCAAAGAAUAAGCACCGGCUAACUUCGUG